AUUGCGUCUCAGCCUUUUGGCUGAGAUCAAGUGUGGUAUGUGUUCUUAACAGUUUUAUAUCUGAUAUCCGAUAUUCGAGUAUAUUAAAUGGAAUUUUGGAGCAGGGAGAUGGAUGGAAUAGGGCCUUGCUCCUUCCACUUCAUGCAUCAUCCACCUGCAGUACCUCCAGAAAUGGCGCACCCCCU
This 185-nucleotide small nuclear RNA is filed under the name Saimiri boliviensis boliviensis (Bolivian squirrel monkey). RNAcentral describes it as "U2 spliceosomal RNA (ENSSBOG00000004212.1)". It matches the Rfam family "U2 spliceosomal RNA". Rfam says of the family: U2 is a small nuclear RNA (snRNA) component of the spliceosome (involved in pre-mRNA splicing). The record is from Rfam by way of RNAcentral. Lineage: Eukaryota; Metazoa; Chordata; Mammalia; Primates; Cebidae.